UCCAAUUCCGACCUGAAUUUUUUCGGUCCCCUUGCUUCGUUUAGUAGUGGCUAGUACUAUUACUACUAGGAGCUAACCAACUCACAAAGCAAAGAGAUUAUUGCGUUGCCUGCCUAAUUCACAUUGAGCUGUACAGUACCAACCAAUGCUAUAGAGUACCCGAUAGUUAAUGGUCUACAGGGCUCAAUCUUGAUUUCGUACGCAGAUGAGAACAGCGCCCAUUCUGCAGCUGAAAUCUGGGCAGUCAGCAUGGAUGAGAAGGGGACAUCAUCAGUUCCGAAGAAGAGAUCUGGGCUGCCCAUGCGGGAUUGGGAUGGCCCAGAGACGUACUCCUCCACAUUCUCGGGGACCCAUAUUUUGCUUUCGCACCGGCCGAUUAAUGAUCCGUAUCCAAGGAAGUCAGAGACAGCAUAUGCGCCCAGACGAGGGCACGACGCGAGCGGCUCUAUUGCCCCCACCGUGGCCUCUCUUCGCGCCAUCUGUUCUGCCGGCAGUUUCCUUUUCACGUACCGCCUCGUACUGUCAACCAUGCUGGCCUGACCGAGCGUUCAGAAGCUCCGGCAAGUGAAAGCAUGGGUAGCCGUCAACGAUCAAAAUCGCACUGAAUAGACACAUCAGAGAGAUCGACGGGCAAGAGUGCAAGACAACAAGUUACAACCAUGCAGAUGAUCAGUAUGGUGUCUUGACUCUUCGUGGCUU
This is a long non-coding RNA of Phragmites australis (common reed), 699 nucleotides long. RefSeq lists it as uncharacterized. The record is from RefSeq and is a predicted model, not a curated record. NCBI's taxonomy places the organism in Eukaryota, Viridiplantae, Streptophyta, Magnoliopsida, Poales, Poaceae. The transcript is spliced from 3 exons.